RNAcentral lists this small RNA (507 nucleotides) under Pan troglodytes (chimpanzee). Its description in RNAcentral is "processed transcript". Lineage: Eukaryota; Metazoa; Chordata; Mammalia; Primates; Hominidae. The record is from RNAcentral.
AUAGUUCACACUAAAGUGAACAUAAACUGUUAAGCAAAACUUUAGAUCACUUCUUCUAACAAAGGAAAUGUACCCGAGAACCCAUGAGAAGUAGCUUCAGAGUACUUUUUUUAACAGUGAAUUCUCUGAGGUCUUGGACUUUUAAAUUUUAUUUAGUUUAAUUGCCAAAAGCCAAGGUGGAGCUGUGUAGCAUUCUGAGGAAAUAAAACCACUUGAAGCAGAGAUCCUGUGGUAUUGUGGAAAUUCCCAGAGGACUUUGGAGACCAGGAAAUACUACAGAGUGUGCCAAAGUUCUGUUUUCCCUUUGACGUUGAAAGGGUGUCUCAGAAUCAAGUUGGACAGCACUUUACCUUUGUACUGACAGACAUUGAAAGUAAACAGAGAUUUGGAUUCUGCAGACUGACGUCAGGAGGCACAAUUUGUUUAUGCAUCCUUAGUUACCUUCCCUGGUUUGAAGUGUAUUACAAGCUUCUAAAUACUCUUGCAGAUUACUUGGCUAAGGAACUG